GUCCCUGUAGCGCAAUGGAUAGCGCGUUGGAAUGCUAAUCCAAAGGUCUGUGAUUCGAAUUCUACUUGGGAUG
Non-coding RNA from Trichonephila inaurata madagascariensis, 73 nucleotides. The record is from the annotation of a GenBank genome assembly. Lineage: Eukaryota; Metazoa; Arthropoda; Arachnida; Araneae; Nephilidae.